This 84-nucleotide transfer RNA is filed under the name Ruminococcus sp. Its description in RNAcentral is "tRNA-Leu". It matches the Rfam family "tRNA". Rfam says of the family: Transfer RNA (tRNA) molecules are approximately 80 nucleotides in length. Their secondary structure includes four short double-helical elements and three loops (D, anti-codon, and T loops). Further hydrogen bonds mediate the characteristic L-shaped molecular structure. tRNAs have two regions of fundamental functional importance: the anti-codon, which is responsible for specific mRNA codon recognition, and the 3' end, to which the tRNAs corresponding amino acid is attached (by aminoacyl-tRNA synthetases). tRNAs cope with the degeneracy of the genetic code in two manners: having more than one tRNA (with a specific anti-codon) for a particular amino acid; and 'wobble' base-pairing, i.e. permitting non-standard base-pairing at the 3rd anti-codon position. Lineage: Bacteria; Bacillati; Bacillota; Clostridia; Eubacteriales; Oscillospiraceae. The record is from RNAcentral.
CGGGGAAUGGUGGAAUGGCAGACACGCUUGACUCAAAAUCAAGUACCGAAAGGUGUGAGGGUUCAAGUCCCUUUUCCCCGACCA